AUGAAUCUCUUGGCCUGGAACUGUCGAGGCUUGGGGUUGGACUCGACAAUCGGCGAAUUACGAGACCUGGUACGGUCCCACAACCCAGCGGUGGUUUUCUGAAGUGAAACAAAAAAGAAAUCUAGGGCUAUGGACAGACUCAAAUGGAGUUUGGGAUUCACAAACGGGGUGGUGGUCGACUGUGUAGGAUGGAGUGGUGGCCUAGCACUUUGGUGGAGGGAUCAUGUUCAAGUCAAGGUGAGGCCGUGGUGCCAAUACUUCACUGAUGCGGAGGUCGAAUGUGAGGGAAAGCUCUGUAGGAUCACUGGAUUCUACGGAGAACCACGGACGAAACUUAGAAAGAAAUUGUGGGAUGCAAUACGAUAUCUGAGGGCGCAAGAUGAUCACCCAUGGAUAUGUUUGGGUGACUUUAAUGAGGCUUUGUUUCAAACGGACCAGCGUGGAGGUAAUCCUAGGAGUUUUUCACAAAUGGAAGAGUUUCGAGACUGUCUCGCCGACUGCGGCUUAGCAGAUCUUGGCUUUUCGGGCUACCCAUUUGAAGGAAAUAUGCCCUAG
RNAcentral lists this ribosomal RNA (555 nucleotides) under Triticum aestivum (bread wheat). RNAcentral's name for it is "partial small subunit ribosomal RNA". The record is from RNAcentral. Lineage: Eukaryota; Viridiplantae; Streptophyta; Magnoliopsida; Poales; Poaceae.